UACAGAGGUCUCAAGCGUUGUUCGGAUUCAUUGGGCGUAAAGGGUGCGUAGGCGGCGCGGUAAGUCAGUGGUGAAAUCUCCGGGCUUAACCCGGAAACUGCCAUUGAUACUAUUUGUCUUGAAUACUGUGGAGGUCAGCGGAAUAUGUCAUGUAGCGGUGAAAUGCUUAGAUAUGACAUAGAACACCAAUUGCGAAGGCAGCUGGCUACACAAAUAUUGACACUGAGGCACGAAAGCGUGGGGAUCAAACAGG
This 253-nucleotide ribosomal RNA is filed under the name uncultured bacterium. Its description in RNAcentral is "partial 16S ribosomal RNA". It matches the Rfam family "Bacterial small subunit ribosomal RNA", at positions 524 to 776 of the family's 1533-position model. The record is from RNAcentral.